GCACCGUUCGUCUAGAUGGUUAAGACCUCUGCCUUCCAAGCAGAUGACGCCGGUUCGAAUCCGGCGCGGUGCUCCA
Molecule: transfer RNA, 76 nt
Filed under: Blastocatellia bacterium
Lineage: Bacteria; Pseudomonadati; Acidobacteriota; Blastocatellia
Description: tRNA-Gly
Rfam family: tRNA
About the family: Transfer RNA (tRNA) molecules are approximately 80 nucleotides in length. Their secondary structure includes four short double-helical elements and three loops (D, anti-codon, and T loops).
Source: RNAcentral